CCGCAGGGGGACGGUUACCACGGAGUGAUUCAUGACUGGGGUGAAGUCGUAACAAGGUAGCCGUAGGGGAACCUGCGGCUGGAUCACCUCCUUAAUCGAAGAUCUCAGCUUCUUCAUAAGCUCCCACACGAAUUGCUUGAUUCACUGGUUAGACGAUUGGGUCUGUAGCUCAGUUGGUUAGAGCGCACCCCUGAUAAGGGUGAGGUCGGCAGUUCGAAUCUGCCCAGACCCACCAAUUGUUGGUGUGCUGCGUGAUCCGAUACGGGGCCAUAGCUCAGCUGGGAGAGCGCCUGCUUUGCACGCAGGAGGUCAGGAGUUCGAUCCUCCUUGGCUCCACCAUCCAAACAAUCGUCGAAAGCUCAGAAAUGAAUGUUCGUAGAUGAACAUUGAUUUCUGGUCUUUGCACCAGAACUGUUCUUUAAAAAUUCGGGUAUGUGAUAGAAGUAAGACUGAAUGAUCUCUUUCACUGGUGAUCAUUCAAGUCAAGGUAAAAUUUGCGAGUUCAAGCGCGAAUUUUCGGCGAAUGUCGUCUUCACAGUAUAACCAGAUUGCUUGGGGUUAUAUGGUCAAGUAGAGCCACA
RNAcentral lists this unclassified non-coding RNA (581 nucleotides) under Pseudomonas aeruginosa. Its description in RNAcentral is "partial contains 16S ribosomal RNA, 16S-23S ribosomal RNA intergenic spacer, and 23S ribosomal RNA". The stretch from base 159 to 232 matches the Rfam family "tRNA". The record is from RNAcentral. Lineage: Bacteria; Pseudomonadati; Pseudomonadota; Gammaproteobacteria; Pseudomonadales; Pseudomonadaceae.